Oreochromis aureus is the source of this 3018-nucleotide long non-coding RNA. NCBI's taxonomy places the organism in Eukaryota, Metazoa, Chordata, Actinopteri, Cichliformes, Cichlidae. The record is from Ensembl.
GGAUAGAUAUAGACUUAGUUUCCCUAUGUUUCACUAAUGUGCAACUCUUUGCCUGUAGUCAUCGAAGAAGGACAACACAUCAGAAGGAGCAGGGGAUACAGGCAGUUCAGAAAAAGCAGAUGCAGAAGGCAGCAGUGACGAGGACGAAGGAGCCCUGGUCAUUGACGAGAAAAAUGAGAGGGGAGGAACCAAACGAAAAGCAGAGGAGUCCACAGAGACCUCUCCGAAGCGGCCAAAGGAUACAGAGGCGGAAGGUGACUCUAAAAUAGACGGUAACCAGUCUAACGUGGAGCCCAAGCUCAACGAUGUGGCUGGACCCAAGGCGACUGCUCCCAGUGAGUCGAAACCAGAGGCCCAGGAAAAUGCUCCAGCAGGGGGCCAGCAAACAGCAGAGAAGCCUGCGACAGACAGCGCUUAACAUCGACUCAGAAGAAAACCACAAACCUUUGACGCUUCUCUCUGGAAUUUAAGCAUCAACACAAUUACCUGCAGGAUGCCAGAUUUCAGCCGUUUAAUUAAUAAGAGAAUUUUAAAACAAACAAAUAAAUUAAAAAAAACAACCUAAAUGUUUGUAUUGAGAGACAAACAAAUACUCAUUUGCCAUUUUUUGGGAUAUCAUAUAUCCCAGAAAGAAAAAGUUUGCUAAUCUGAUUUCAAAACAAUUGAAUUGAGCACUUUAGGGCUCAUUUAUAAAUGGGAUUUUGGUGUGUAUAUAUUUUUUAUUUCUAAGUGCAAUUACAACGACUGAAUGCUAGGUGUCAAAACAUUUUUCAGCUUAGAGGGGGAUAAACACUGAAUAUAUGGUAAAUUUAAAAAAAAAAGAACAUUAAAAUCACAAGGAAAAAACAUUUAUUUGACAAAUGCUCCCAUUUGAUGGUUUUAAAAAGUAGAUAUUGUACAGGCGAUAGAACAAAUUUUCAUCAAUGCUCUUAGCUUAAGUUCAUAAUUUUACUGCUUCCAUUUGUAUCACCUAGCUUUUCAGCCUCAUUUAAAUCAUUUAUUCUGUCAUUGGAAAUAUGAUUGAAUAUUCAGAGGUUUUUUGUUUGUUUGUUUGUUUGUUUUCUGCCCCCAUUAUUGUUGUCUGUUUUGCCCUAUGACAUUUGUAUGCAAAUGUGUUGUUUUGGUGUGUAUGCUUGAUUGCGAGUGACCAAAGUACGUGAUUCAUUUCACAGGAACCCAUAUGUGGAAUUAAUUAUGUAAACCCCUUUUGAGAAAAGCAAAUUUAGGAUUUAAGCCCCUCUGCUACUCAGUUUAGGCCUCAGUCAUGCCGGCCUAGAAACCAGUUGGCAACCAUCUGGCAACCACUUAAAUGUGCAUUCCCAAUCACUUGGUGAGAAGUUGCUGGCAGUUGCAAGCUGAAACUAUUUGCAAAGAAAUAUACGGAGCUGCACUGAAAACCUUAUGAGUGCUUUGGGUGCUCUCAGGUUGCUGUACUUGUGUAGAAGAUGCCGACUUGUCUGCAAACAUUUGUCACCUAGUUGCGUAGCUGUAGUAAAACGCAACUCAGAAACUGAGACUGUUCCCCAAAGAUGUUGGGUGCGAACUUUUAUUCUGAAGUCGGAACAUUCUUCAUUUCUGGUUUGUGUCAAACUUUCACAAAGUUUCACUUCCGCAGAACCAUUAGUUGUGUUUGCAGACAACUCGGUGUCUCCCUCCCAAACUACAGUAGACCAUGGUAAUCUGCUAGCAACCAAAUGAAUCACAAGGAGGGGUUAAUUGUAAUUCUAACAGAUCUAAAAUUUGUGACUAAGCCCAUAAACACAAGAGUCAAGACAGAAAGCUGUUUUCCCAGAAUUCAAUAGGACCAGAAGUCUUUUUAUAAUUACAGUUCAGAUACAAUGCAGAUUUAGGGCACUUCCACGUUAGCUUCAUCCAUGUCUUUUACUGAUAUCAGCUAGCAACAACCGCUGGCCAAAUGGUCAGGGAGUGCACGUUUCUUCUUGGUGACUGGCGGUUGCUUGGGAGUUACCGACCUGUCCCUAGGCCUGUGUGACUGAGGCCUUACGUAAGGAGACAUUCCUGAGUGAUGUUCUGUCUGAGCAGAAUCUUGAAACUUUAGCAUCAGGUUUCCCAAACAUAGAUUAAUUCCAGUGCCAGACUUGGAAAAAAAUUAAGAAAAAAAAGAUGCUGUAGGCUUAAUCCUUAUCUGGGGAAACUGAGCCUUAAAGGUAAUGUGGAGCAGUGGUAAUGACUGCAAGGGGAAGGUUGUUGGCAUCACCCCUCUAUGUGGAAAUUAUCUGGAAAAGUCUUCUAAAAUUCAGUUUCAUGUUGUGAUUUCACAUUUAGCUUACAGUAGUUCCACUGUUGCUUGAAGCUGUUGAAAAAAAACUUGUUCAGAAAUGUAUUCUCGAAACCUUUGAAACGAGUCGUUGAUCUGGACUGCACAAAGUGAGAUUCAUUGAAAGAAACAAGAAACUGAAUAUGGGUAAAUACAGAGAGUUAACCAUUUGUAAAUCUUCAGUUUAUGACUUUCUUUUCUUGGUUUCCCACCCUCUUAACUGGAAUACUAAUCUGUUUGACUUCAGUGGUCUUAUUAUUUUGACUGUGAAACAAAGUUGUGAUGUGUUUUAUUCCAACAUCUGUUUAGACGACAUGUUCAGAAUAUGGUGUUAUUUUCCACUGUAACAGUAUCCCAAGGAGUUCGGGCCCUUUCACCCACGCCAUUUGGAUGUCAUCGUCAUCGCUUCAGUGUUCUUUCAUGUAAUUAGCAGCGUUAGAUGAUAGUUUAUCACACUAUGAACUUUUAAGGGAAAGCUCAGCUCUGAAUGUUGUGUCGAAGAUGGCCAUCUUCCCAUCGCCACACCGCUGAUUUAAAAACCUUAAAAUGGUCAAAGGCCGGAUCUGGAGGUUAUUCAAAAGUUUAAUUUGGUAUUAAAGUGUAAAACUUUCUUUUGUUGUUGUUUUUGGGGGGGUGGGGGUUAGCCUUCUGUUACUUUUGGAAGCUGCCAUUCAUCUUAAUCUGCUGCUUUGUUUACUAUUGUAGUUGCCAGACCAUUUAAUAAACAUGUUGAUUACAAA